This 237-nucleotide ribosomal RNA is filed under the name Salmonella enterica subsp. enterica serovar Typhimurium. RNAcentral describes it as "partial 23S ribosomal RNA". It matches the Rfam family "Bacterial large subunit ribosomal RNA", at positions 1918 to 2154 of the family's 2925-position model. Lineage: Bacteria; Pseudomonadati; Pseudomonadota; Gammaproteobacteria; Enterobacterales; Enterobacteriaceae. The record is from RNAcentral.
CCCCGGUAAACGGCGGCCGUAACUAUAACGGUCCUAAGGUAGCGAAAUUCCUUGUCGGGUAAGUUCCGACCUGCACGAAUGGCGUAAUGAUGGCCAGGCUGUCUCCACCCGAGACUCAGUGAAAUUGAACUCGCUGUGAAGAUGCAGUGUACCCGCGGCAAGACGGAAAGACCCCGUGAACCUUUACUAUAGCUUGACACUGAACAUUGAGCCUUGAUGUGUAGGAUAGGUGGGAGG